This 270-nucleotide long non-coding RNA is filed under the name Panax ginseng (ginseng). RNAcentral's name for it is "long non-coding RNA (PGIN_LNC010921)". Lineage: Eukaryota; Viridiplantae; Streptophyta; Magnoliopsida; Apiales; Araliaceae. The record is from RNAcentral.
UUCGAUGUAUAUGUUGUUUAAUCACUUAUACUUAUGAUUCAUUAGUAAUAUAUUCUUUGAUGGAUUAAUCAUUUCGGACUAGCUGAAUAUGGGUAAUUCCAUCUGUUAUCUUUCUCACCGGAGAAUAAGGAACUGCUUUACAUACAAGAUUAUAUCUUUUCUAUUUGAACUCCCCGAUCUCUUAUGGAUGGUCAAAGAUGUAUUUUCCGGAAUAAUGACAUAAGUUUGUUAUAGAUCUUUCUCAUAUGUAUAAUUUUAUUUAAAUUUAGU